RNAcentral lists this ribosomal RNA (484 nucleotides) under uncultured bacterium. RNAcentral describes it as "partial 16S ribosomal RNA". It matches the Rfam family "Bacterial small subunit ribosomal RNA", at positions 30 to 507 of the family's 1533-position model. The record is from RNAcentral.
AUUGAACGCUGGCGGCAGGCCUAACACAUGCAAGUCGAGCGGAUGAAGGGAGCUUGCUCCUGGAUUCAGCGGCGGACGGGUGAGUAAUGCCUAGGAAUCUGCCUGGUAGUGGGGGAUAACGUCCGGAAACGGGCGCUAAUACCGCAUACGUCCUGAGGGAGAAAGUGGGGGAUCUUCGGACCUCACGCUAUCAGAUGAGCCUAGGUCGGAUUAGCUAGUUGGUGGGGUAAAGGCCUACCAAGGCGACGAUCCGUAACUGGUCUGAGAGGAUGAUCAGUCACACUGGAACUGAGACACGGUCCAGACUCCUACGGGAGGCAGCAGUGGGGAAUAUUGGGCAAUGGGCGAAAGCCUGAUCCAGCCAUGCCGCGUGUGUGAAGAAGGUCUUCGGAUUGUAAAGCACUUUAAGUUGGGAGGAAGGGCAGUAAGUUAAUACCUGGCUGUUUUGACGUUACCAACAGAAUAAGCACCGGCUAACUUCGUG